CAAACACUUCUGUUGUGCCUGAUUAUUGUUGAUAUGUAUUCACCUAAGUUUGUUGAACAUCUGAAGCAGGUAUAUGAUUCUGUAGCUAUUAGUUGUUUACUUUGAUCUAGAUAUGCCUUUAUGUCAAUAAAAAGUUUGAUGUUCAUUUGGCCUGAUGGCACAAAGCUUCCUGACUUUUGGGGGGUCAGUUUUUUCUUUGCCCUUUAUUUACUUCUCUCUCAAUAAAAAAAUAAGGUUCUUUGGAAACUUAAGUUCAGUGGCUGUGGUCACUUGCAGAUUGUACAUAUCGGUUCUUGCAAUGAUUAUGAUUCUGGAGCAGCCCUAUUUCAGUGGGAAAGCUAUUUUAAGGUAAAGGAGCUUUUGGAACUAUCUAAUGUAUGUGACUUUCCUUUUUCAGAUACUUUAUAUUCUUUUUCCGGGAAAAUAGGAAGGAGUUGUAAUCGUUUGAAGUCAAACCUAACUUCAAAUUGUGAUAUUUUAGAAUGUCAAGAGAUAACCAUAUUUUGAAUAUCAAAUCCAUUGAGCCAGUUUUAAUUGAGAUGGUAUCUUACGGAUUUGCCUCAAUUAGGUAGGAGGUGAAAUGUUAGCUUGGUUGUGUUUUUCAUAACAGUUAGAAUGGAGAAUCGUUUGUCAGAAAAAUUCAAUAUUUUGAAGGUACAUAAAAAAAAAAAAAAAAAAA
Molecule: long non-coding RNA, 679 nt
Filed under: Cicer arietinum (chickpea)
Lineage: Eukaryota; Viridiplantae; Streptophyta; Magnoliopsida; Fabales; Fabaceae
Description: long non-coding RNA (CARI_LNC001263)
Source: RNAcentral